UCAGCCUAUAGACUAGCUACAGCGUCUACAAAUACAUAAGAAUACACAGUUUGUUGUCGACAACUUUUUAGACAUACUUGUGCAAUCCAUAUUAACAUACAAAAUUAUCUAGCUAGCAAAUGAUAUGGUAUCGAGCAUCAACAUAACUUUACAUAAACUGUAACAAAUAUGAGAUUUUUUUUUGAUAAAGGUAGAAUAUGUAUUGAUAAGAAACCAGAAAUACAAAGACUGGACGAGUGCAAUAACUGCACCGCCAGUUUAAAACCACAAGAACAUAUCCUUGGUUCACAGAAUCCCAUUCUCAGUCCCUGAACUCUAUAUAAACUGUAACAAAUAAGCAUGAAAGCAACAACAUAACAGACCCAAGAAACAACUCUAAAUCCCUGUACUUUACAUGUGCUUCUGUUUGCACCAAGAAACUCUGUUACUCCCUGCUGCAAUCACUGCUAUAAAUUCCCCAACAUCAGCCAAUGAAUUUCAGAGCUCCCCUUCAGCAAAACUGUCAGACAUUGUUGUUUGGUCAUGUAGUUUCAACUUCCCAGACCCAUGAGUCCCUUGAAUAGUUAACCUAAAAGAAUAUGUUUGAUUUGAAUUAGGACAGACAACAUCAUCAUGAAAAAACUCUGGAAUACAAUUUUAAUUUUAAAUAAAAAUUUUAAAAUCUAAUUUUCUCCCAUAUUGAAACUUGCAUUGAUAAACUGGAGUAUACAAAGAAGGGCUAGCUAUAUUAAUGUGGUUCUCAUACAAGGAAAGAAAUAAUGGGGACCUCAAUCCUGCCUGUAACAAUGGCAAUGUGAAAGAGAAACAAGAAUCAAGUGGGUGGGUUGUCAUUCAUGAUAUACAAAGGAAAAGUUAAAGACCAUGAUUAAGAUUUAUUCAUCACUUUACUGAUUAGUCUAUAUACUCAAUCCAUUAAUCGAAAAUUUAAUAUCUUAUUCCUUAAAACCCAAUCAUCAUCAAUAUAAUAAACAGUUAAACACAUAUACGAAUCUCUUGUGCACUGUGUUGUCCACAAAUCAGUCGUCAAACUAACCCGACUUGAAAGUUUUCCCAAACUACUAUAAAGUGCAUUUUUCUCUUCCUUGUAUAAUUUCACAAUAUCACCUCGAACUGUAUUUCGAUGCUUUAAAUCAAAUUGUGGUUGAAGAUUGUUCACAAACUUUCUAAAAUACUCAUGCUCAACCAUCGAAAACGGGUAAUUAUGUUUAACAAUCAUCUCGGAAAGAUCUUGUCUACUCCGUUCUUGACAAAAUUUGAUCAUCUUAGUUGAAGGAGUUCCCUUAUCUUUUCUACUCCGUUCUUGACCUGAUUCAUUUUGUUUUUUUAUAAAACAUCUAUUCAAAUGAUUUCGCAAGCUAGAAGUUCCAUUGACCCUAAAGGUUUCUUUACAAUGUUUACAAAUAGCACUUUGUUUAUCUUUACUUCUCUCAAACUCUAACCAUACAUUAGACCUCAAUGUGUUUUGUGAUCCACUAAGUUUUUUUCUCUUCGAUGAAUUACUAACCCCGUCAAUAGAAUCCAUCGACCAAUGGACCGACAUCUUACAAUGAAUCACUGUAAUUACAAACCCAAAAGAGAAAAACUCAACCUUUCCUUUUCAAACCAAAUUAAUCUCCAACAGUUUCAGCAGCCAUUAAAGAGUUGUUUGAAUGAAAACCCAAUAUAGAAAAACUCAAACAAAAGAACCCAACAAUUAAAAAUCAAUUGUAAUCACAAACCCAAGUCUCUAUGUCAACUUUCUAGUUCCCAAAUUCAACAAUCAAAUAAAAUCACAAACUUACCUAGAAAAUGAAAGAGAGAUCGAUUGAGAAGAUGAAGAUGAUUUGAUCGAAAUUCUUCAAUCAAAUAAAAUCACAAAAAAUUGAUGAUGAUGAUCUGAUCGAAAUUAUUCAACCAAAUUCUUCAAUUAAAUAAAAUCACAAAAAAUUGAUGAUGAUGAUCUGAUCAAAAUUCUUCAAGUUUAGGGAAAUUGAUUAUAAUUUUUAGAACAAAAGAGAGAUCGGAUUGAGAAGAUGAAGAGAAGGUAAAGUUAGGGGAAAGAGAGAGAGAUCGAGUGAAAUUUGUUGUUU
This 2069-nucleotide long non-coding RNA is filed under the name Aquilegia coerulea. Its description in RNAcentral is "long non-coding RNA (ACOE_LNC001993)". The record is from RNAcentral. Lineage: Eukaryota; Viridiplantae; Streptophyta; Magnoliopsida; Ranunculales; Ranunculaceae.